RNAcentral lists this ribosomal RNA (412 nucleotides) under uncultured bacterium. RNAcentral describes it as "bacterial SSU rRNA". It matches the Rfam family "Bacterial small subunit ribosomal RNA", at positions 97 to 507 of the family's 1533-position model. The record is from RNAcentral.
GGCGCAAGGGUGCGUAACGCGUGAGCAACUUGCCCGUUUCUGGGGAAUAACCGGUGGAAACGCCGACUAAUACCCCAUAGUAUAGACGAAAGGUCAUCUUUUGUUUAUUAAAGAAUUUCGGAAACGGAUAGGCUCGCGUGACAUUAGCUAGAUGGCGGGGUAACGGCCCACCAUGGCGACGAUGUCUAGGGGUUCUGAGAGGAAGGUCCCCCACACUGGAACUGAGACACGGUCCAGACUCCUACGGGAGGCAGCAGUGAGGAAUAUUGGUCAAUGGACGCAAGUCUGAACCAGCCAUGCCGCGUGCAGGAUGACGGCUCUAUGAGUUGUAAACUGCUUUUGUAUGAGGGUAAUAUCAGGUACGUGUACCUGCUUGAAAGUAUCAUACGAAUAAGGAUCGGCUAACUCCGUG